This 492-nucleotide ribosomal RNA is filed under the name uncultured bacterium. RNAcentral describes it as "partial 16S ribosomal RNA". It matches the Rfam family "Bacterial small subunit ribosomal RNA", at positions 28 to 507 of the family's 1533-position model. The record is from RNAcentral.
GGUGAACGCUGGCGGUAGGCCUAACACAUGCAAGUCGAACGGCAGCACAGUAAGAGCUUGCUCUUACGGGUGGCGAGUGGCGGACGGGUGAGGAAUACAUCGGAAUCUACUUUUUCGUGGGGGAUAACGUAGGGAAACUUACGCUAAUACCGCAUACGACCUACGGGUGAAAGCAGGGGAUCUUCGGACCUUGCGCGAUUGAAUGAGCCGAUGUCGGAUUAGCUAGUUGGCGUGGUAAAGGCCCACCAAGGCGACGAUCCGUAGCUGGUCUGAGAGGAUGAUCAGCCACACUGGAACUGAGACACGGUCCAGACUCCUACGGGAGGCAGCAGUGGGGAAUAUUGGACAAUGGGCGCAAGCCUGAUCCAGCCAUACCGCGUGGGUGAAGAAGGCCUUCGGGUUGUAAAGCCCUUUUGUUGGGAAAGAAAAGCAGCAGGUUAAUACCCCGCUGUUCUGACGGUACCCAAAGAAUAAGCAUCGGCUAACUUCGUG